Molecule: ribosomal RNA, 427 nt
Filed under: uncultured bacterium
Lineage: Bacteria
Description: partial 16S ribosomal RNA
Rfam family: Bacterial small subunit ribosomal RNA
Source: RNAcentral
UGGGGAAUAUUGGACAAUGGGCGAAAGCCUGAUCCAGCCAUGCCGCGUGUGUGAAGAAGGUCUUCGGAUUGUAAAGCACUUUAAGUUGGGAGGAAGGGCAGUAAGUUAAUACCUUGCUGCUUUGACGUUACCGACAGAAUAAGCACCGGCUAACUCUGUGCCAGCAGCCGCGGUAAUACAGAGGGUGCAAGCGUUAAUCGGAAUUACUGGGCGUAAAGCGCGCGUAGGUGGUUUGUUAAGUUGGAUGUGAAAGCCCCGGGCUCAACCUGGGAACUGCAUCGAAAAGUGGCAAGCUAGAGUACGGUAGAGGUUGGUUGAAUUUCCUGUGUAGCGGUGAAAUGCGUAGGUAUAGGAAGGAACACCAGUGGCGAAGGCGACCACCUGGACUGAUACUGACACUGAGGUGCGAAAGCGUGGGGAGCAAACA